RNAcentral lists this long non-coding RNA (2177 nucleotides) under Malus domestica (apple). RNAcentral's name for it is "long non-coding RNA (MDOM_LNC014460)". Lineage: Eukaryota; Viridiplantae; Streptophyta; Magnoliopsida; Rosales; Rosaceae. The record is from RNAcentral.
GUUAUUGCUCGAUGACUUUGCAACAUGCUAUUGCUGCCUGUGUUUUUGUCUCUUUCAGCCUUCACUGUAUAUGGCAUGCCGAUAGGUGGAGCCCUUUGUAGACAGGUUAUAAUUGCUAACUUCAACCAACUAUUUUUAUACUUAUUUUAAUAUUCAAUAAAAUCGGAAUAUGAUAACAACGAAAACGAAAUAUGAAAAAUUCAAAGAGGGUCCAAGAAAAAAGUCCAUAGACUAGACUACAACGAUUGAGAUAUUAUAAGCUACUUUAAUAUGUGCCAAUGAGUUUUGAACUUGAGUGCAAGACGACACGCACACUGCCUGGCCAAGCUGACUAACCCACAUAUACAAUGAGAUAGGACAUGACUUUGUUUCAAAGAAAUAAAAACGAUUAUUGAGCCUCCUACAUUAAGUUUUGGCUAAAUUCAUACUAGUUCAGUGAGUAUCUCCAUCUUAAAUAAGGAAGAUGAUUUUUACACUCUUUUUCACUUCCGCACACCCCUCCUUUUUCUAGUCCUUGGAUGGAACAAACCGAAGGAGAAUCAAAGACCAUAAUUAAAAAGGGUGUGUAAAAGGUGAAAAAUGGUGUGCAGAAAUCCAAACAUGACCAAAAAGAAAAGAAAACACUUCCUAUAAUGUUUCAGGGGAAGAAUAUACAAAUCGCAAGUUUUAGGCCCAGUAAUAUUUAAUACAUGACAAGAUAUAAUUCUGCAGCAUUUCACGUGAGGUUUUCUAUGUAAGAUAACAUCUAAACAUUCACGUUCAGUACUCAUCUGCAUUUUCUCACUAGUUUAGAUACUCAAAUUAUUCCAUGCUAGAUGGUUUCAAAUCGUAAAAGUAGAAGAAAAGCAAGAAGGUAAAACUCAACAAAUAGACAACAGCUGCUCAUCCUAACAUGAUACAAAAGCUUUUUGGCAUGUCUAAAGAUUGGUAAUGACAUUUUCGGUAACUGCACCCGGAAAGAGAUCAUCUUCAGAUAUUUCCCUCCAAAGGCCAGGGAUCAAAUGAUCCGAACUUUUAAAAUUUGAUCUAACGACCAAAAAUUAUUAUAGCUUUUAAAUUUUUUUACUAACUUCUAUAUUUGUUGUCGUUAGAUCAAAUUUUAACGGCCUGGAUCACUUGAUCCCUGGGCUUUGGAGGGAAAUAUCUGACACACCGACCAAUACGUCGGAACAGGGCGCAUCAACACCACCUUGAACAUUAGGAUCAUCCAUCUAGUUUCCAACUAAAAAACCAACAAAGUACCUUGCAUAACAUGUGAAAUCAUUCAUAUGCACACAUCCUAAGUUUAACCAAACAGCAAGUACAACACAUCAAUCCUCUGCAACAUUGGAUUGGCAAGCAUUGGCCGGAACCGGCUGUAGAACUAAGGUGAUGGAUGACACCAAAGUCUAAAAAUGACUAGGAAACCAGUGCAGCAUGCCCGUAUAAGGACGCAUCAUUUUGACACGGGGUUACGUAUAGAUGAUCAAUCACAGCAAUCUUACAUAAAGUAUGGUACCGUUAAGUUUGGUACCAUCACAUUGUAAAUUGCCGGACUUGCGUUCUUUUAUAACUAGGUAAGUCGAACGAUAACAACAUUGUUCCUCGGAUUACUCAGGAACCAAAUGAAACAUAUAUAAAGCUAAAAGCUUGAUGGGGGAAAUAGCAUCUAAAUCAAACAGAUUGUUCAUCACUCUCGUAGAUUUUCUCCGAACCGGAAAAGAAGCUAGUUGUAAAAUAUGCCGAACUCGUACUUGCACUUAUCAAAAACUGAGCAAUUAAUCAAUGUCAAUCUAUCUAGCUGCAAUCACUUGCUAUUAAUCAAACUUAAUUAGCACUAAUCCACAAGAAAUCAACAGAUUAGGGUUUUUAAUUUAUUAAAUUUCAUAAAUAAACCUGUUGCUCCUCAUUGUACUUUUAUCCUCCGGGGCUGCCUCUCCUUCUCAGUAGCUAAUCUGUACAUCCAAUACACCUAUCACGAUGAAAGAUCAGAUUUUAGACAGUAAUUAAAGCGAAAAAUCAAGAACAUGAAGGAAAUUAGAGAGUACCAGAGCGAGGACGUGAGCUACUAUUAGGAGAACCACCACGAACGGCACCGAUUCGAGGAACCAUGGCCGCAGAGACGCCGGCUGCGGAUUCGCCAUUCGAUGGAAACAGGGAGGUUUUAGAGAGAGAUAGAUGGGAGAAAGAGAUGGAGA